GUAGAGGUAGUUCAGUGGUUAAGAGCAUUUGCUGCUCAUGGAGAGGACCCAGGUUCUAUUCCUAGCACCCACA
RNAcentral lists this transfer RNA (73 nucleotides) under Mus musculus (house mouse). RNAcentral describes it as "tRNA-Glu". The record is from RNAcentral. Lineage: Eukaryota; Metazoa; Chordata; Mammalia; Rodentia; Muridae.